UACGUAGGGGGCAAGCGUUGUCCGGAUUUAUUGGGCGUAAAGAGCUCGUAGGUGGUUCGGUAAGUCGGAUGUGAAAUCUCCAGGCUCAACCUGGAGGGGUCAUUCGAUACUGCCGUGACUAGAGGUCGGUAGGGGAGUGUGGAAUUCCUGGUGGAGCGGUGAAAUGCGCAGAUAUCGGGAGGAACACCAGUGGCGAAGGCGGCACUCUGGGCCGGAACUGACGCUGAGGAGCGAAAGCGUGGGGAGCGAACAGG
Molecule: ribosomal RNA, 254 nt
Filed under: uncultured bacterium
Lineage: Bacteria
Description: partial 16S ribosomal RNA
Rfam family: Bacterial small subunit ribosomal RNA
Source: RNAcentral